GAGAGUCAGAGAGAGAGAGAGCUGAACUGAUCACUUUCCUCAAGAUUGAUCGAUCAGCCUCGUAUGUGGAAACUCCGUCAGAGUGAGACCUCUGCUUCUCACGCUCGCUCUUUGAAGCACUCGCGCAUGCGCUGCUAUCAAAGCGGAAGUAAACAAGCAGCGUGCAGCUCUCAGACCCGCGUGCAGCAUCAGCAGGAGGACGGCGAAAGACAGUACCACAACAAGCUGAUGUGUAUCAGCUCUGCUCCUCCUCCUUCAUCUACACCUCCUCCUCAUGAAUCCUACUGCAGACUCCUUCUGUCCCUCCCCUCAGAAGAGGAGGAGGUCAGAAAGUCUGGAGGAAUCUCCUCCUCCUGUCGACACAACUGAGAGAACAGAGAGGAAGAAGAAGAAGAAGAAGAGGAGACAAGAGGAGGAGGAGGUGAGUCCUCCUCUUCCUCCUCCUCCUGCUGUUGGAGAGACAAACAGAGAGAAUGAAAAAAAGAAGAAGAAGAAGGGAAAGGAGAAGCAGGAGGAGGGAGGAGCAGAGGAGGAGGUGGAGUUAGAAACAAGUGAGACUGAAAAAAAGAAGAAGAAGAAGAAGAAGAAGAAACAGAAGAAUGGACUGAGUGAGGUCAACAUCGUCAUGUUAACAGACCACAGCAACAGAGAAACAGAUGCCAUGGUUUCCAUGGAAACCAACAACAUCAGGACUGAGAAGAAGAAGAAAACUAAGAAAAUAGAGGAGAGGAGGAUGAGAGGAGGAGGGAAGGAGAGAGAGAGAGAAAGAGCAGCUGUGAAACAUGAUGAGUGUGACGGGGAACAGGAGCUGCAGGAGCUGCAGGAGUUCAUCCCAGACGUCAGGAAGAAAUCAGUCGGUCAGAUCAGUAAACUGCUGAGAUAUGACCUGCAACGCUUCAAGAACUUCAAACAGCAAGGUGUAUCUCUGCGUUGGGGGCGGUACUCUAAACAGGAGAAUCAGCAAAUCAGAAAGAACAUUUCAGACUUCCUGGCUCUGACAGGCAUCAGCUCGGCCAAUCAGCUUCUGUUUCCUCAGAGAUACAAAGAGCAGGAGGCGGAGAUCAAGAAGCUGAGAGUACAACAUCACUUCCUGGAGAGGAUCGCUGAGGGAAUCCCUCGGACGUGUGAUCAAGUUUAUGUCAGAGCCAGGAAGAUUUUUGACGACAGGAACCACAGGGGAAGGUUCUCGGAGGAGGAGUUGCAUUCUCUGGUUAAGUUGCAAAACCUUCAUGGUAACGACUGGAAGACGAUUGCUCAGAAGAUGGAACGCAGCAUCUACGCCUUAGAGAAACGCUUCGCCAACAUCGCUGAGGGUCAUGGAUCCUGGAGUUCAGAUGAAGAGUCCAGGUUGAAGGUGGCUCUGAAGGCUCACCUGGAGGCCGUGGUCCAACAGAGUCCUACAGGUCCUCGUCUGACCAGGGACCAGCUGUGGAACAACCUACCCUGGAAGGAGAUCAGUCAGCAGGUUGGAACCAGAUCCUGGACCCAGUGUCGCCUCAAGUGGUUCUCCAUCCUAAAGGUGAAACUGUCCUCAGGUGGCAGCACCUUCAACAGAGGAAGUGAAGGACUUCAGGCUAAAAUCAAUCUCAUCAACACGUUGUACAACAUGCGUGUAGACGAUGCAGGCGACAUUGACUGGGACGAGGUCGCUCUGAGUGUCGGUAAAACAACUCCAGUGUGUGUUCAGAAGAGUUUCCACAGACUGAAGGUUUCCAGAGUUCCUGACUGGGCCAGGUUAUCAUAUGGAGCUCCUGGUUCUUCAGGUUCUCUUUGACUUGAUCCAUGUCUCCUCACACCACUGCACCUUUACUGUAGUCUGGUCAGUGGCAGGGGAUUCUGGGUAACACGGUCCAUUCAGCCUGAGAGGAAACAGUUUGUAUGAUCGACGGCUCCUGUGAUAAUCAACAUCCGAUCAGUCUGUUGUUGUUUGUUUGUUGUUUGGUGAUAAAAUGUUAUCAGAAUGUACUGUAGUUUAUCCAGCAGCAGAGGAUUCUGGGAGCUGUAGUUCAUUUGUUGGUGAUGGCCUGAAGGCUGCUGGUUCUCCUCAUGAUGUUCGGGACAAACAGGAGUCCUGACGCUCGCUCGAUGGUUUCUAUGGGAACCAGGAAAUGCUCCAGAGGAACCUUCUCAUCGAUUGGUUCGUUUGGUAAAAGAUACGACCGAAGCUCCACCCCCCUGCCGUCCACCUUACAGAAAUUAUUGACUUCCUGCAGCAGAGGGAGGUACCUCUCCUGAAGAAGAAAUUGAGUCAGUUCAACAGACGGGAGGUGCAGCACGAGCAGCAGGAAGAGGAGAUGUACCUGCUGUCUGACAUCUUCACCUCUCAGGAUGAGGAGGAC
Molecule: RNA transcript, 2339 nt
Organism: Lates calcarifer (barramundi perch)
Lineage: Eukaryota; Metazoa; Chordata; Actinopteri; Centropomidae
Gene name: transcription termination factor 1
Exons: 12
Source: RefSeq, a predicted model, not a curated record